This 468-nucleotide ribosomal RNA is filed under the name uncultured bacterium. RNAcentral describes it as "partial 16S ribosomal RNA". It matches the Rfam family "Bacterial small subunit ribosomal RNA", at positions 28 to 507 of the family's 1533-position model. The record is from RNAcentral.
GACGAACGCUGGCGGCGUGCUUAACACAUGCAAGUCGAACGGAAAGGCCCUGCUUUUGUGGGGUGCUCGAGUGGCGAACGGGUGAGUAACACGUGAGUAACCUGCCCUUGACUUUGGGAUAACUUCAGGAAACUUGGGCUAAUACCGGAUAGGAGCUCCUGCUGCAUGGAGGGGGUUGGAAAGUUUCGUCGGUUGGGGAUGGACGCGCGGCUUAUCAGCUUGUGGGUGGGGUAGUGGCUUACCAAGGCUUUGACGGGUAGCCGGCCUGAGAGGGUGACCGCGCACAUUGGGACUGAGAGACGGACCAGACUCCUACGGGAGGCAACAGUGGGAAAUCUUGCCCAAUGAGCGGAAGCCUGAUGCAGCAACGCCGCGUGCGGGAUGACGGCCUUCGGGUUGCAAACAGCUUUCGCCUAUGACGAAGCGUGAGUGACGGUAAUGUAUAAAGAAGCACCGGCUAACUACGUG